RNAcentral lists this ribosomal RNA (408 nucleotides) under uncultured eukaryote. RNAcentral's name for it is "SSU rRNA". It matches the Rfam family "Eukaryotic small subunit ribosomal RNA", at positions 570 to 990 of the family's 1831-position model. The record is from RNAcentral.
GCAGCCGCGGUAAUUCCAGCUCCAAUAGCGUAUAUUAAAGUUGUUGCAGUUAAAAAGCUCGUAGUUGGAUUUCUGGGAGAGUGGCGAUGUCCGCUUAACGUGUGUGCAGCGGCGCUCUUCCAUCCUUCUGUUAGCGUCUCUUGGCAUUCAUCUGCUGGUGGCGGGCUCAGAUAUUUUACCUUGAGAAAAUUAGAGUGUUUCAGGCAGGCUAGGCCGGAAUACAUUAGCAUGGAAUAAUGGAAUAGGACUACGGUCUCUUUGUUGGUUUGAGGGACUGCAGUAAUGAUUAAUAGGGAUAGUUGGGGGCAUUAGUAUUUAAUUGUCAGAGGUGGAAUUCUCAGAUUUGUUAAAGACUAACCUAUGCGAAAGCAUUUGCCAAGGAUGUUUUCAUUGAUCAAGAACGAAAGU